CUUUCAAUGUGUGAAAUACCAGAUAAUCGUGUCGGCUGCUAAAAUGGUGGAUUGCAGCAAACGUCAGCCAUGAAUAUUAGAAGAUAACAAAAGUUGGUUGAAUCACAGGAUAUCUGCAUAUUAAAGGUAGCGAACGACAACAACUGAAAUGUAUUUGAAUUGAAAUAAGCAAAGCAGAGAUUAAAACACAAGGUACUUUUUGACAUUGUCAUCUGAUAAGACAUAUCUGCACUGUUUGUAUUAGUAUCUCACCUGUGAGGCACUGAUACCUGAUGGGUCAAAAUGAUAAUAAUGAAUAAUAAACAGUACCGUGAAUUCUA
This is a long non-coding RNA of Octopus bimaculoides (California two-spot octopus), 320 nucleotides long. RefSeq lists it as uncharacterized. The record is from RefSeq and is a predicted model, not a curated record. NCBI's taxonomy places the organism in Eukaryota, Metazoa, Mollusca, Cephalopoda, Octopoda, Octopodidae.